Molecule: ribosomal RNA, 598 nt
Filed under: Phaeoclavulina viridis
Lineage: Eukaryota; Fungi; Basidiomycota; Agaricomycetes; Gomphales; Gomphaceae
Description: eukaryotic LSU rRNA
Rfam family: Eukaryotic large subunit ribosomal RNA
Source: RNAcentral
GCGAGUGAAGUGGGAAGAGCUCAAAUUUGUAAUCUGGCGGCCUCAGGCCGUCCGAGUUGUAAUCUGGAGAAGUGCCUUCUGCAUCGGGCCAUGUACAAGUCCCUUGGAAUGGGGCGUCGUAGAGGGUGAGAAUCCCGUCUUUGACAUGUGCUUUUUUUAUGAUGCUCUGUGAUGCGCUCUCGAAGAGUCGAGUUGUUUGGGAAUGCAGCUCAAAAUGGGUGGUAAAUUCCAUCUAAAGCUAAAUAUUGGCGAAAGACCGAUAGUGAACAAGUACCGUGAGGGAAAGAUGAAAAGCACUUUGAAAAGAGAGUUAAACAGUAUGUGAAAUUGUUGAAAGGGAAACGAUUGGAGUCAGUCGCGUCCCUCGAGACUCAGCCCGUAACUUUUGUUACCGGCGCACUUCUCGAGGUCGACGGGCCAGCAUCAAUCUCUGAUGGUCGGAUAAAGGUGGGGGGAAUGUGGCACCCUUGGGUGUGUUUAUAGCCCCCAUCGUAUACGACGGUUGGGAUUGAGGGUCGCAACAUGCCUUUAUGGCCCGGGGUUCGCCCACGUAACGUGCUUAGGAUGCUGGCAUAAUGGCUUCAAACGACCCGUCUUG